GACGAACGCUGGCGGCGUGCUUAACACAUGCAAGUCGAACGGAAAGGCCCUGCUCUUGUGGUGUGCUCGAGGGGCGAACGGGUGAGUAACACGUGUGUAACCUGCCCUUGACUUUGGUAUAACUUCAGGAAACUGGGGCUAAUACCGGAUAGGCGCUCCUGCUGCAUGGUGGGGGUUGGAGAGUUUCGGCGGUUGGGGAUGGACUCGCGGCUUAUCAGCUUGUUGGUGGGGUAGUGGCUUACCAAGGCUUUGACGGGUAGCCGGCCUGAGAGGGUGACCGGCCACAUUGGGACUGAGAUACGGCCCAGACUCCUACGGGAGGCAGCAGUGGGGAAUAUUGCACAAUGGGCGGAAGCCUGAUGCAGCAACGCCGCGGGCGGGAUGACGGCCUUCGGGUGGUAAACCGCUUUCGCCUGUGACGAAGCGUGAGUGACGGUAAUGGGUAAAGAAGCACCGGCUAACUACGUG
Molecule: ribosomal RNA, 468 nt
Filed under: uncultured bacterium
Lineage: Bacteria
Description: partial 16S ribosomal RNA
Rfam family: Bacterial small subunit ribosomal RNA
Source: RNAcentral